ACACUUCAGCGGUUCCUAUCGUCACACAAACGCCUCUUCAUGCAUGUUGCCCUAGGGUUGCUUGGACUUGCUCAAGUUCACAUUUUAGGUAACGGCAACAGCUGGGUGCUUAUCAUUAAUCAAUUAUUUACAGUUGUGGACAAUAAGGCAAGGGGCUGAAACAACUUACCCAAUGACACAUAGCAGGGGAGGAGGAGAAGGUGGAAGUUCAGAUUAGACGGUUUGGUCAUGAAGUUCUCUCCUGGCUUCAAGCUGCUGAUGUUAUGAGUUCUUCGCUCCCAGCCACGUGUUUGCUGCUUUACUCUAGACCAUCUCUGAUGAGAAGAUGAAAUAGGGAAGCAACAAUCAUAAAAUCAGUUCCCUAGAAGAGGGAACUCAACAGCCCAAAUCCUUCUCGCAGGACUAUCCAGGAACCUCAGGUUCAGAUGUCUGCGGAGGCGACUCAGAUCCUCAUACUAAAUACACGAGUGCUAUGCGGUGCAUCGUGCCUGGGACCUUUCCCACAAGAUCAUGAGAAGGGCGGUGUUUGCUGAUUUUGCGUUGCUGUCAGCUGUCUUAGCAUCUGCCUCCUUAGCAAGAUUCCUCCUCUUUGCUGCACGCUGCAAUUUGGAGCGGUGAUGGCACAUGCUUGGCUUCCAGCCUCUUUCCGCUUUAGGAACGGCUGUGUCAGUAGCCCUCUACCUGCGUAGCCCCAUGGAGAGCGCGGAUCCUCCAGGAUGGGAGGUGUUGUAUAAAUAUCCGAUGGCCUUGUUAAUAACUAAGAGCACGUGCAGUAUACCGCGAGGAUUCCCUGGUUCCUGCAGCUUGGUCAAAUUGAGAUCGAGCGAUAUCUUCUAACCACUAAAAAACAGCGUAACUAUAUCCCAGAGCUCGAGGCUGACCUCAGAUAGAGGUGUGAAGAGCUCUUCUUGCCUUUCUUCUGCAGCGCUGGAGCUCUCACUGCAGGAAGCAAUGUAAGCAUAUUCCCUGAAAAGCCUGUCAACGGAUAAGAACAUUUUUCAACUGCGCUUCCAAAGUUCAGUCAGAAGUGACCUCCCAAACCCCAGGAUGCUGUUAGAAAAGGAGUUUUUCUUAACAGACAAAAGCUAAGGGGGGUUUUCUAGCCCAAAGCAAAAAGUACUGGUUUUCAACAAGAACUCUUGAUAAGCAGUCUAGUGCCUUCACUUCCUCAGAUGUACGCAGCUAUGGGUAGCUCAAAGCUAUAAGGAACAAUUACAAAACACUUAAUAACGAGGAAUCACAGACCCAGCUCUCAGCUGAGUUGAUUUAGACCCUUCUGCUUCCAGGCAGACGAUAUUAAUUCCUUGUUUACUGUGAGUUCCUUUCCAACAAAUCCUUAAGGCCCCAGUGCUCUAUCAUUAUUUUCUACAAGAGAAGGAUUUGCCCCAUAUGGUAACCAAAAUUUACUCUUGCUGAUGUUGUAUAGAGAGCUCUUGGGCCCUUAGUUCUGGCCCAGAUGUGGCCAGGUGAUUUUUAACCCGACAUGGGACUCUUUCCCAAAUGUUUUGAGCCGAAGGCAAUAGGUACGUUUUGUUUUUUUUCAAAGGGGGGAGACAGUGUUGAAGGAAUACUCAACAGCUACAAAACCGAGCACCAUUUACGUGCUCAGAUGGAUGGCUAUAUAAUACAUUAGGCAUGCCCGAUGCAUUGAUGUUAAUGUUGUGUCUUCUACUCAUCUUUAAGAAUAUAUGUAGCCUUGUAUUUUCCAUGCUUUGUUUUGGGACGUAUUUAGUUGUCAUGCUCUAAAUGUUUGAUUGUAAAUUCCAGAAGGAAGAACAAGAAGUUAUUUUUAACCCAGCUGUUAAAAAUUUGUGAGGAUUUUCUUUGUUGAGCUGAAGUUCCAGUUCCUCG
This is a long non-coding RNA of Alligator mississippiensis (American alligator), 1851 nucleotides long. RefSeq lists it as uncharacterized. NCBI's taxonomy places the organism in Eukaryota, Metazoa, Chordata, Crocodylia, Alligatoridae. The record is from RefSeq and is a predicted model, not a curated record. The transcript is spliced from 3 exons.